This 253-nucleotide ribosomal RNA is filed under the name uncultured bacterium. RNAcentral describes it as "partial 16S ribosomal RNA". It matches the Rfam family "Bacterial small subunit ribosomal RNA", at positions 524 to 776 of the family's 1533-position model. The record is from RNAcentral.
UACAGAGGUCCCAAGCGUUGUUCGGAUUCACUGGGCGUAAAGGGUGCGUAGGCGGUCGGGUAAGUCUGGCGUGAAAUCUCCAAGCCUAACUUGGAAACUGCGUUGGAUACUAUCCGGCUCGAGGAAUGGAGGGGAGACUGGAAUACUUGGUGUAGCAGUGAAAUGCGUAGAUAUCAUUUGGAACGCCAACGGAGAAAUCAGGCAGCUGGGGGUGUGCUGACGCUGAGACACGAAAGCCAGGGGAGCGAACGGG